GACGAACGCUGGCGGCGUGCUUAACACAUGCAAGUCGAGCGGUAAGGCCCUUUCGGGGGUACACGAGCGGCGAACGGGUGAGUAACACGUGGGUGACCUGCCCUCAGCUCUGGGAUAAGCCUGGGAAACCGGGUCUAAUACCGGAUAUGACUCCAUGACGCAUGUUGUGGGGUGGAAAGCCUUGUGCGGCUGAGGAUGGGCCCGCGGCCUAUCAGCUUGUUGGUGGGGUGAGGCCUACCAAGGCGACGACGGGUAGCCGGCCUGAGAGGGCGACCGGCCACACUGGGACUGAGACACGGCCCAGACUCCUACGGGAGGCAGCAGUGGGGAAUCUUGCGCAAUGGGCGAAAGCCUGACGCAGCGACGCCGCGUGAGGGAUGACGGCCUGGUU
Molecule: ribosomal RNA, 391 nt
Filed under: uncultured bacterium
Lineage: Bacteria
Description: bacterial SSU rRNA
Rfam family: Bacterial small subunit ribosomal RNA
Source: RNAcentral